RNAcentral lists this ribosomal RNA (468 nucleotides) under uncultured bacterium. RNAcentral's name for it is "partial 16S ribosomal RNA". It matches the Rfam family "Bacterial small subunit ribosomal RNA", at positions 28 to 507 of the family's 1533-position model. The record is from RNAcentral.
GACGAACGCUGGCGGCGUGCUUAACACAUGCAAGUCGAACGGAAAGGCCCUGCUUUUGUGGGGUGCUCGAGUGGCGAACGGGUGAGUAACACGUGAGUAACCUGCCCUUGACUUUGGGAUAACUUCAGGAAACUGGGGCUAAUACCGGAUAGGAGCUCCUGCUGCAUGGUGGGGGUUGGAAAGUUUCGGCGGUUGGGGAUGGACUCGCGGCUUAUCAGCUUGUUGGUGGGGUAGUGGCUUACCAAGGCUUUGACGGGUAGCCGGCCUGAGAGGGUGACCGGCCACAUUGGGACUGAGAUACGGACCAGACUCCUACGGGAGGCAGCAGUGGGGAGUAUUGCACAAUGGGCGGAAGCCUGAUGCAGCAACGCCGCGUGCGGGAUGACGGCCUUCGGGUUGUGAACCGCUUUCGCCUGUGACGAAGCGUGAGUGACGGUAAUGGGUAAAGAAGCACCGGCUAACUACGUG